UCGCCUGUUUAACAAAAACAUGUCCUUUUGGUAUUUAUUUAAGGUCUAACCUGCCCAAUGAUUUUUUAAUGGCCGCGGUAAUUUGACCGUGCAAAGGUAGCAUAAUCACUUGUCUCUUAAUUGGAGGCUAGAAUGAAUGGUUGGACGAGAUAUAUACUUUCUUUUUUGUAUUCUAUUGAAUUUAAUUUUUGAGUUAAAAAGCUUAAAUUUUUUUAUAGGACGAGAAGACCCUGUAGAAUUUCAUAUUAAUUCAAUUUUAGUUCUUUUUGUUUUUUUAUUAUUGGUUCUUUUUUUGUUUUAAUAUUUUGUUGGGGCGACAGGAAGAUUUUUUUAACUCUUUUUUAUUUAUUCAUUGAUUUAUGUUUUGUUUUGAUCCUUUAUUAAAGAUUAUAAGAUUAAAUUACCUCAGGGAUAACAGCGUAAUCCUUUUGGAGAGCUCUUAUCGAUAAAAGGGUUUGCGACCUCGAUGUGGAUUAAAA
Molecule: ribosomal RNA, 479 nt
Filed under: Lethocerus annulipes
Lineage: Eukaryota; Metazoa; Arthropoda; Insecta; Hemiptera; Belostomatidae
Description: partial 16S ribosomal RNA
Rfam family: Archaeal large subunit ribosomal RNA
Source: RNAcentral